Molecule: ribosomal RNA, 373 nt
Filed under: uncultured Nitrospina sp.
Lineage: Bacteria; Pseudomonadati; Nitrospinota; Nitrospinia; Nitrospinales; Nitrospinaceae
Description: bacterial SSU rRNA
Rfam family: Bacterial small subunit ribosomal RNA
Source: RNAcentral
AUGAACGCUGGCGGCGUGCUUAACACAUGCAAGUCGAACGAACCUUCGGGUUAGUGGCGGACGGGUGAGUAACACGUGAAUAAUCUGCCCUCGAGAUCGGGAUAACUUGGCGAAAGCUAGGCUAAUACCGGAUAAGACCACAUUUCAUAAGAAAUGCGGGAAAAGGAGUCUCAACCUUCACUCGAGGAUGAGUUCGCGGACCAUUAGCUUGUUGGUGAGAUAAAAGCUCACCAAGGCUACGAUGGAUAGCCGGCCUGAGAGGGCGAUCGGCCACACUGGAACUGAGACACGGUCCAGACUCCUACGGGAGGCAGCAGUGGGGAAUAUUGCGCAAUGGGCGAAAGCCUGACGCAGCAACACCGUGUGAGCGAUG